AUCAGUUCUGCGAGGCCCUCAAGGCGGGUGCGCUGCGGCAGGUCAACGCGGGGUCGGAUUUCGUCCGCAACCUGGGCAGGAGGGCAGCGCGUGAGGGGUCUCAGCAGCGGCUUCGCUCGAUGCUCAAGUCGGUG
Molecule: non-coding RNA, 134 nt
Filed under: Vitrella brassicaformis
Lineage: Eukaryota; Vitrellaceae
Source: RNAcentral